CGUGUGUCAUUUUAAUACAAAGUUAUCUCCUGCAUUUCCAUCAGCAGCCAGUGAGCAGCUGAAAGCCCAGUCAUUCUCCUUUUUUUCCGCAUUGGCUAAGACGUUAAAAUAUUUAAACUUGGGAUCAGUGCCAAACAGUCUGGAGUCCUGAUCCAAGCCAGCCUCGCCCUCCCUGGCCUGCUGUGUGAGAUCAUCCUUAAAGGGAC
Molecule: non-coding RNA, 206 nt
Organism: Pelobates cultripes (western spadefoot toad)
Lineage: Eukaryota; Metazoa; Chordata; Amphibia; Anura; Pelobatidae
Source: the annotation of a GenBank genome assembly